RNAcentral lists this long non-coding RNA (1467 nucleotides) under Homo sapiens (human). RNAcentral's name for it is "HSALNT0077723". The record is from RNAcentral. Lineage: Eukaryota; Metazoa; Chordata; Mammalia; Primates; Hominidae.
ACCUUAUUCUACAAGCUUUUUUCUAUUAUUUAUUUAUUUUACUUUUAAAACUUUUUUAUAAAACCAAGACACAAACACAAACAGGGUCAGUAUCAUCAAUAGCACUGUCCUCCACCUCCACAUCUUGUCCCACUGGAAGGUCUUCAGGGGCAGUAACAUGCAUAGAGUAAUGGGGGAACCUGCCCCCAAUAUUUCAACAUAGGUUCUUUCUAUUUUCCGAAAGUGUCAGCCGGCUGAGAAAUAAAGAGAAAGAGUACAAAACGAGGAAUUUUACAGCUGGGCUGCCGGGGGUGACAUUACAUAUAGGUAGGAUGGUGAUGCCCACCUGAGCCUCAAACCAGCAAGUUUUUUAUUAAGGGUUUCAAAAGGGGAGGGGGUGUAAAAACAGAGAGUAGAUACAAAGAUCACAUGCUUCAAAGGGCAAAAAGCAGAACUACUGAUAAGGGUCUAUGUUCAGUGGUGUACAUAUUGUCUUGAUAAACAUCUUAAACAACAGAAAACAGGGUUCGAGAGCAGAGAAUUGGUCUGAUCACAAAUUUACCAGGAUGGAGUUUUUCUCCACGCUAGUAAGCCUGAGGGUACUGCAGGAGACCCAGGGCAUAUCUCAGUCCUUAUCUCAACCACAUAAGACAGACACUCCCAGGGUGGCCAUUUAUAGACCUCCCCACAGGAAUGCAUUCCUUUCCCAGGGUAUUAAUACCAAUAUUCCUUGCUAGGAAAAUAAUUUAGUGAUAUUUCUCCUACUUGUACAUCUGUUUAUAGGCUCUCUGCAAGUAGAAAAAUAUGGCUCUUUUUGCCUGACCCCACAGGCAGUCAGACUUUAUGGUUGUCUUCCCUUGUUCCCUAAAAAUUGCUGUUAUUCUGUUCUUUUUCCAGGUGCACUGAUUUCAUAUUGUUCAAACACACAUGUUUGACAAUCAAUUUGUACAGUUAACACAAUUAUCACAGUGGUCCUGAGGUGACGUACAUCAUCAGCUUACAAAGAUAACAGGAUUAAGAGAUAAAAGUAAAGACAGGCAUGAGAAAUUAUAAAAGUAUUAUUUGGAAACUGAUAAAUGUCCAUAUUAAAAUGAAAUCUUCACAAUUUAUGUUCCUCUGCCGUGGCUCCAGCCGGUCCCUCCGUUCGGGGUCCCUGACUUCCCACAACAAUGGAGUUGUCAUCUCCUAUGAUAAUAAUGCCUUCUUCUGGAAACCUCCUGAAGGACCUGCCUGAGGUUGUUUCAUAGUUAACUUAAAAAAAAAUAAGUAGUAAGCAUAUACUCUAAAAUAACAAUACAAACUGUAGAAUAGUAAAUACAUAGAACAUUAACAUCAUCAUUUGUUAUUUUCAUCAAGCAUUAUGCACCAUACAUAAUUUUAUGUUCACACCCACAUCACCACAAACAUGUAAGUAAUGCAUAACACUGUGACAUUACAACAGAUGUUGUAAUGAUGGUGCUAUAUGUGAUAGUUCCAUUAUAAUCUUAU